This is a non-coding RNA of Caenorhabditis elegans, 119 nucleotides long. Lineage: Eukaryota; Metazoa; Nematoda; Chromadorea; Rhabditida; Rhabditidae. The record is from Ensembl.
UGCGCGAGAAGGUCGUGUGCACAAUCUCCAUUUUUAUUGCUAAUUUAUGUCUUGACGCACAGACGUCAGGUACUCAAUUCUUGCAAAUCCAUAAUGUGACCAUAAAAAUUGUGCUGCUG